This is a transfer RNA of 73 nucleotides. It matches the Rfam family "tRNA". Rfam says of the family: Transfer RNA (tRNA) molecules are approximately 80 nucleotides in length. Their secondary structure includes four short double-helical elements and three loops (D, anti-codon, and T loops). The record is from Rfam.
GCUCAUGUAGCUCAGUCGGUAGAGCACUUCCUUGGUAAGGAAGAGGUCACAGGUUCGAUUCCUGUCAUGAGCA